ACAUUAUGCAAGAAUCAUCAGCUCUUGGGUUAUCCACAGCAGCCCUUCACUAUGAAAGAGAGAUUUCAUGGUUUAUGGGGGUGGAGAAGAUUGUGCCGUCAUCAUUUCGCCACAUGAGAAAUAAGGACGGCAAAACCCCAAAGCAAUUGUUUUUGAAAGAGCACAUGAAAUUAAAGAUGAACGCA
Ipomoea triloba (trilobed morning glory) is the source of this 185-nucleotide long non-coding RNA. RefSeq lists it as uncharacterized. The transcript has 2 exons. The record is from RefSeq and is a predicted model, not a curated record. Lineage: Eukaryota; Viridiplantae; Streptophyta; Magnoliopsida; Solanales; Convolvulaceae.